Long non-coding RNA from Glycine soja, 1708 nucleotides. RefSeq lists it as uncharacterized. The transcript is spliced from 9 exons. The record is from RefSeq and is a predicted model, not a curated record. NCBI's taxonomy places the organism in Eukaryota, Viridiplantae, Streptophyta, Magnoliopsida, Fabales, Fabaceae.
UCAACAACAUAAAAGUUCAAACCUGAGACUAAUGAAAGUUCAAACACAUUAUAAUCUUCCCGUUGAUAUUUUACUUGGAUAUCCUCACUCGUAGGCCUCUUAGGUGGGACUUCUCCUCAGGAUACACUGGUCACGUGAUGACAUUUGAGGUUGGUGCAGUGCUUGAGGAUGCAAAUUGGCAGGCUCCAGUGAAUUGUUUUGAUGAGAAUGACAAGGAAAAGAAUAUCCCUAUUUUGGGAUCUGCUGUUCGUGGUGGUUCUCUUGGGAGUUAUGACAUAGGCUCUGCCACUUGGGCAGACCUUAGGAAAGCACCCCUCCAAAGUGCAAUGGAAGUCACUUACAUUUGUGUCCACUUUGUUUUAAAAGAACUUGUGCGGAAGUCAAUUUCAGAAACUGAGGUCAGCAAUGUUUCAGCAAUGUCCCAGCAAUGUUUUCAGAAAUGGAAGUCAAUUUUAGUGCACCGUUAUUUGAGACUAAAUAUGGUGGAUUAUCUACUAUCUAUAUUGAAAAUCGUCACAUGGCUUAUUAAUUAGAAAGGUGUCAGUCACAAUUCCCUCGGGUGAUUAAUUGGAAAACUAACAUAUAAGGGAAGGCAUGUGUUUAACCUGUACUAUGUAGUUUGUUGAUGAUUGUAAUUUGUAAUAAGUGUUGCCUAUUUUGAGUCUUAACAUAAUUUUUCAAAUGUCACUCUUGUAGCUUCAGCAUUGGAAUCUGGAAGCUUUCAUUCUCCUGUUGAUGAAAAGUUGAUUUUGAAGUUUGUGGUUGAAGAGAUGAUGAUUGGUCACACAGAUCACAUAUCGGAGUCAAGAUCAUUGAAGGAUCAAAUACUUGGCUACUCUGGGUCUGAAUUAAGUGAUGAUGAAGAGGAAGAUUGUUUGGAACAGAUACUAUACUCAACAUCCUUUGAAGAGCUGGCAAGCAAUUACGUUAAAUAUGACACGGUCAUAUGGCUUGCUAUAUCAUUACUUCUAGUUUUAGCUUGGAGAAUUGGCCUUCUUAUGUUGCUUUACCUGCCCAUCAGGAGAUAUGUGCUUCAAAAGGAUUUGUCUUCUUGCAUAUUAUAUGUUACAUGUAUCGAAGUAGUUUACAAGGUAUCAAGACCUUCAUUUAUACCAUUUUGGGGGACUGUAACAAUUGAGAGGCGUGUACCUCUUUCUCUGGUCAUUGAUAUUAUCAUUGAACAAGAUGAUUGUAACAGAGGCUUCAAAGAUCACACAAGAUGUGAGUACAAGUGGGAAGCAUGCUGAUCCAAGCACAGAUGAGGAAAACAUAUGCCAGGAGCAACUGAGGGAUCAGUUGUUUUGAGAUCAUCGUCAAAAAGUUUGAAGGAAUGAUGGCAUCUGGGAAGACAACUGUGGGACGGAUAUUGUCAGAGACGCUUUCUUACUCGUUUUAUGAUAGAAUGGAUCAUCAAGGGCAUAGCCAGAACCCAUCUAUGGUAGUGGAGCUCAAUUAGCAUAUGGUUCUAACACCAGCUUCAGCAACAACUCCAACAAUUUUGGUCAAACCAGUAGCAAGAAAUUGAGAAGGUUACUGAUUUCAAGAACCACAGUCUUCCCCUGGCAACUAAUAUAUUAUGUUUAUUAUUAAUAAAUUUAACAAUUACCUGUUAAAUCUAAUUAUAUAUAUUGUUAAUUGUUAAUAUGAUUAAGUUACAAUAUUUUAACAAUUGUUAAAUGGCUAUUUGUAUUCAUAUUCAUUAUUUAGG